AACAGACAACAUACAGUAUCGGUAUUUCAGUCAUUCAACCAAUAAUCAAUAAAACAGUAAAAUAUGCACACGAAACUAUAAAAUGAAAACAUCAAACCUCAUACUGCAUUUAAUACUGAAAAUUAGAUCAAACAAUAACAGACCAACAUUGUAUCAGACUCGGGCUCCAUUGGCAACCUCAAUCAAUUAUACAUCUAUAAAGUCUCAAAAUACCGUUUAAUUAUUUAUUAAGCUUUAAUACCGUGAUAGGAAAUAGGGUGAGGGGUCCUUACUCGUUUAGGGGUCCGAACACGGCUUCACAGUGCGCCUACAAGCUGUCCCCAAUUUUCCCUGAAUUUUUUUUCCGGGGAACUGAAACGCACU
RNAcentral lists this long non-coding RNA (363 nucleotides) under Carica papaya (papaya). RNAcentral's name for it is "long non-coding RNA (CPAP_LNC014196)". Lineage: Eukaryota; Viridiplantae; Streptophyta; Magnoliopsida; Brassicales; Caricaceae. The record is from RNAcentral.